CGCGUAGGCGGUGCGGUAAGUCACCUGUGAAACCUCCGGGCUCAACUCGGAGCCUGCAGGCGAAACUGCCGUGCUGGAGUGUGGGAGGGGUGCGUGGAAUUCCCGGUGUAGCAGUGAAAUGCGUAGAGAUCGGGAGGAACACCUGUGGCGAAAGCGGCGCACUGGACCACAACUGACGCUGAGGCGCGAAAGCUAGGGGAGCAAACAGGAUUAGAUACCCUGGUAGUCCCAGCCCUAAACGAUGGAUGCUUGGUGUAGCCGGUACCCAAUCCGGCUGUGCCGCAGCUAACGCGAUAAGCAUCCCGCCUGGGGAGUACGGUCGCAAGGCUGAA
Molecule: ribosomal RNA, 332 nt
Filed under: uncultured bacterium
Lineage: Bacteria
Description: bacterial SSU rRNA
Rfam family: Bacterial small subunit ribosomal RNA
Source: RNAcentral